AACCUUACCAGGUCUUGACAUCCUUUGACCAUCCUAGAGAUAGGACUUUCCCUUCGGGGACAAAGUGACAGGUGGUGCAUGGUUGUCGUCAGCUCGUGUCGUGAGAUGUUGGGUUAAGUCCCGCAACGAGCGCAACCCUUAUUGUUAGUUGCCAUCAUUCAGUUGGGCACUCUAGCGAGACUGCCGCAGACAAUGCGGAGGAAGGUGGGGAUGACGUCAAAUCAUCAUGCCCCUUAUGACCUGGGCUACACACGUGCUACAAUGGAGAGUACAACGAGUCGCRAAGCCGCGAGGCUAAGCCAAUCUCUUAAAGCUCUUCUCAGUUCGGAUUGUAGGCUGCAACUCGCCUACAUGAAGCCGGAAUCGCUAGUAAUCGCGGAUCAGCACGCCGCGGUGAAUACGUUCCCGGG
RNAcentral lists this ribosomal RNA (410 nucleotides) under Enterococcus cecorum. Its description in RNAcentral is "bacterial SSU rRNA". It matches the Rfam family "Bacterial small subunit ribosomal RNA", at positions 967 to 1378 of the family's 1533-position model. Lineage: Bacteria; Bacillati; Bacillota; Bacilli; Lactobacillales; Enterococcaceae. The record is from RNAcentral.